UAGUGGCGAACGGGUGAGUAACACGUGGGCAAUCUGCCCUUCACUCUGGGACAAGCCCUGGAAACGGGGUCUAAUACCGGAUAAUACCUGCCUGGGCAUCUGGGUGGGUUAAAAGCUCCGGCGGUGAAGGAUGAGCCCGCGGCCUAUCAGCUUGUUGGUGAGGUAGUGGCUCACCAAGGCGACGACGGGUAGCCGGCCUGAGAGGGCGACCGGCCACACUGGGACUGAGACACGGCCCAGACUCCUACGGGAGGCAGCAGUGGGGAAUAUUGCACAAUGGGCGAAAGCCUGAUGCAGCGACGCCGCGUGAGGGAUGACGGCCUUCGGGUUGUAAACCUCUUUCAGCAGGGAAGAAGCGAAAGUGACGGUACCUGCAGAAGAAGCGCCGGCUAACUACGUGCCAGCAGCCGCGGUAAUACGUAGGGCGCAAGCGUUGUCCGGAAUUAUUGGGCGUAAAGAGCUCGUAGGCGGCUUGUCACGUCGGGUGUGAAAGCCCGGGGCUUAACCCCGGGUCUGCAUUCGAUACGGGCUAGCUAGAGUGUGGUAGGGGAGAUCGNAUUCCU
Molecule: ribosomal RNA, 563 nt
Filed under: Streptomyces sp. 316A10
Lineage: Bacteria; Bacillati; Actinomycetota; Actinomycetes; Kitasatosporales; Streptomycetaceae
Description: bacterial SSU rRNA
Rfam family: Bacterial small subunit ribosomal RNA
Source: RNAcentral